UGGCUCAGUGGUAGAGUGCUUGCCUUACAUGCAUGAGGCCCUGGGUUCAAUUCCUCAG
This 58-nucleotide transfer RNA is filed under the name Dipodomys ordii (Ord's kangaroo rat). It matches the Rfam family "tRNA", at positions 8 to 63 of the family's 71-position model. From Rfam's summary of the family: Transfer RNA (tRNA) molecules are approximately 80 nucleotides in length. Their secondary structure includes four short double-helical elements and three loops (D, anti-codon, and T loops). The record is from Rfam by way of RNAcentral. Lineage: Eukaryota; Metazoa; Chordata; Mammalia; Rodentia; Heteromyidae.